Molecule: small nucleolar RNA, 130 nt
Organism: Oryctolagus cuniculus (rabbit)
Lineage: Eukaryota; Metazoa; Chordata; Mammalia; Lagomorpha; Leporidae
Gene: SNORA72
Rfam family: Small nucleolar RNA SNORA72
About the family: U72 is a member of the H/ACA class of snoRNAs. The snoRNA gene is located in intron 4 of the ribosomal L30 protein gene in human, mouse and chicken.
Source: Ensembl
UUGCAAAUAUGCUCUCUGUUCUGAUUUUGUAAUAAUCAGGACAGGCUGAACGUUUGCUAUAUUGACUAUGUAUGUGUCCCCAAUUCUAGUUCUUUCCCUAUGUCUGUUUUCAUCAAUGCUGGUGUGAAAG